Molecule: ribosomal RNA, 251 nt
Filed under: uncultured bacterium
Lineage: Bacteria
Description: partial 16S ribosomal RNA
Rfam family: Bacterial small subunit ribosomal RNA
Source: RNAcentral
ACGUAGGGAGCAAGCGUUAUCCGGAUUUACUGGGUGUAAAGGGCGUGUAGGCGGGCUUGUAAGUUGGAAGUGAAAUCUCGGGGCUUAACCCCGAAACUGCUUUCAAAACUGCGAGUCUUGAGUGAUGGAGAGGCAGGCGGAAUUCCCAGUGUAGCGGUGAAAUGCGUAGAUAUUGGGAGGAACACCAGUGGCGAAGGCGGCCUGCUGGACAUUAACUGACGCUGAGGCGCGAAAGCGUGGGGAGCAAACAG